Molecule: long non-coding RNA, 1368 nt
Filed under: Mus pahari (shrew mouse)
Lineage: Eukaryota; Metazoa; Chordata; Mammalia; Rodentia; Muridae
Description: lncRNA (MGP_PahariEiJ_G0005690.1)
Source: RNAcentral
GGCUAAAUGGAGUCUUGCUCACAUUUUCAGAGGCAGGAGUUGAAAGUAUACUGAACACCAUCUAAAGUCCAGGCUUUCCAGGGAGCGUGAGGGGCUUGCUUCUCUAGUCCCCCCACAGCCUACGAGGGAGGCAUCACCGGCUCCAUCCCACAGAUAAGGAAAUGCAACCUCUGCAGGAUUAAAGAUCCUCCUCAGUUAAGGAAGCCAGAACCCCAACACUGCACUCCAUGGACUAUGGCAAGUCUGUCUCUCUGAAGACUCUGGAGAAUUUAAGUCUUCUUCAGCUUCCUAGGGCCGUUCUCCUGUGACUCAUCACCCUCUUCCAACUUCAAACCCACCAGUGGCCAGCCAAGUGUUCUCCAAGUCUCUGAACACUGAUACUCCCUCCCACCCCUCCCUCUAAGGACCUCACGUUUAUACUGUGUUCACCCAGAUAAUCCUGGACCAUCCGCCCAACUCGAAGUCAACUGUCAACAGCAUAGAUCGACCUCAACCACAGUUCUUCUUUAUCACAUGACUUAACAUUUUCACAGGCUCUGAAGAUCAGUGCCUGGCAUCUUUGAGGAGCCAUCCCUCUGCCCACCACCCUCAGCAGCUAAUGGGGGGCCUCUGUCCACCUCUCCAUCCCUGUCUGCCUGGACGAGAGCAUAGAACCCCAACUGCCUGAUUGAGGACACAGAGGCCCCAACUGUCUGGAUGUUGGGAGCACAAAGGUCCUUGUGCUCAGAGAUAGGCACUAAGGAAACCCGGAAUGUCAAACAUGCGGGGUUGGCUCUUCAACAAAAGAAAUGUAUAACCUGUUUUCCUCCCAGAAGGCUAAGGAUGAAAGAAGGCUGUUGAUAACCUAAUGGCCUGUGCUAUCUGCAGGGCCAGGCAAGACCUGACUCCCUCAGACUCAUUUAUGUUUAUCCCAGACCUCCUCUCUAGACCUUUAUCUUUAGCAUUGUUCCUCCAUCAAUAGAACUCAUCUUUAUGGGAGAUGCCACACAUACUUUUUAGCCUGGUGACCUCUGUACUGUCGGCAUGACAGAAACCACACAAGAUCCUCCCCUAAGGCCUUAAGCUAUAGAACUCAACUUUGUGGAAGAAGGCAACUGUACUUUAGAAAAGAGUUUUGAGGUCAUUGUGCUUUAAGCUUUAUUGUGCACAAAAGACUGAGUUAAUUGUUAGCAGGAAACUUUUUUCCAAAUUGUACUGUACUUACGUAUGCCUAAUGUCAGGAGUGGUGGUACAUGCCUUUAAUCUCAGCAUUUGGGAGACAGAAGCAGUCCCUGUUAGUUUAAAACCAGUCUGGCUUGCAAAGUGAGGUUUAAGACAACCAGAGCUACAUAGUGAGACCCUGUCUUGAAAACAAACAAAAUUAUGUCU